AUUUAUCAUUAUUGGCUUCUAUGCCAUUAUAUUUUCUUCUGUUCUAAAACUUAUUCACUUGUAUUAGAUAUCUGUUAAUAAUUUUUUUAAAAAAGAGAGGUUACAGAAAUAAAGAUGUGUACAUUUUAUAAUGUUUAUUUAAAACUUACUCCGAGAAUAAACAUAUUCUCAAAAAAGAAAUGAAUAAUAAAAACAAAUAUAUGGUUUUACAAUUUUUAACCUUAUUUAUUUUUAGCAGUGUACCAAAACUAAAAUUUGACAUGGCUGUCAAAAGUCACUGCCAUUUUACAUUUACUUUACAAUAAAAUAUUUUCCAUGUUGAAAACAAACAUUUAAUUAUGUAAAACCUUUACCAUUAAUAUCCACUUGUGAAUUUAUUUAAAAUAAACAUUAUCAUACCUUAAAACAAAAAUCCAUGUCACAACACUUGGAACUUCAAAAC
RNAcentral lists this long non-coding RNA (442 nucleotides) under Diabrotica virgifera virgifera (western corn rootworm). RNAcentral describes it as "uncharacterized LOC126886876". The record is from RNAcentral. Lineage: Eukaryota; Metazoa; Arthropoda; Insecta; Coleoptera; Chrysomelidae.